RNAcentral lists this microRNA (21 nucleotides) under Aegilops tauschii. RNAcentral's name for it is "ata-miR9863a-5p". Lineage: Eukaryota; Viridiplantae; Streptophyta; Magnoliopsida; Poales; Poaceae. The record is from miRBase by way of RNAcentral.
UGUUAUGAUCUGCUUCUCAUC